RNAcentral lists this ribosomal RNA (611 nucleotides) under uncultured bacterium. RNAcentral's name for it is "bacterial SSU rRNA". It matches the Rfam family "Bacterial small subunit ribosomal RNA", at positions 338 to 941 of the family's 1533-position model. The record is from RNAcentral.
CCUACGGGAGGCAGCAGUAGGGAAUCUUCCGCAAUGGACGAAAGUCUGACGGAGCAACGCCGCGUGAACGAUGAAGGCCUUCGGGUCGUAAAGUUCUGUUGUUAGGGAAGAACAAGUGCUAGUUAAAUAAGCUGGCACCUUGACGGUACCUAACCAGAAAGCCACGGCUAACUACGUGCCAGCAGCCGCGGUAAUACGUAGGUGGCAAGCGUUGUCCGGAAUUAUUGGGCGUAAAGCGCGCGCAGGCGGUUUCUUAAGUCUGAUGUGAAAGCCCCCGGCUCAACCGGGGAGGGUCAUUGGAAACUGGGAAACUUGAGUGCAGAAGAGGAAAGUGGAAUUCCAAGUGUAGCGGUGAAAUGCGUAGAGAUUUGGAGGAACACCAGUGGCGAAGGCGACUUUCUGGUCUGUAACUGACGCUGAGGCGCGAAAGCGUGGGGAGCAAACAGGAUUAGAUACCCUGGUAGUCCACGCUGUAAACGAUGAGUGCUAAGUGUUAGAGGGUUUCCGCCCUUUAGUGCUGAAGUUAACGCAUUAAGCACUCCGCCUGGGGAGUCGGUCGCAAAGCUGAAACUNAAAGGAUUGACGGNNGAGNGNGCGAGCGACGAGAGGAG